RNAcentral lists this long non-coding RNA (422 nucleotides) under Sorghum bicolor (sorghum). Its description in RNAcentral is "long non-coding RNA (SBIC_LNC006055)". Lineage: Eukaryota; Viridiplantae; Streptophyta; Magnoliopsida; Poales; Poaceae. The record is from RNAcentral.
CUCUCUUUCCUAUCUAUAACUCUUAAAACUUUUCUACUUUAACUUGUUUGAAAUUGUCUUGUUUUUUGUGAUCUAUGUACUUUUUUUGUAUUUCUCCUUCAUCUAGAGAUAGUUCUCUAUUUACUCUAAUAGUUUUCAUCUUUCUAAUAAAUCUUAUAUUGUUUCUUAGGUUUCUGAAGGUCCCCAUAUUGUUGUCUACUGUUUAAAGGUAUACUUUGAUUCUCUUUAUGUUUCCUUUUCUACAUUACUUCUUCAUUGUCUUUAUCUACUUGUGUCAGUUUAUGCCACUUUUUGAAUGAUAUAUAGAUCCACUAUUUCAUUCGAUGCCAUCAUGUAUUAAGGGUAUAUUAUUGUCCAUUGUAUUUGGUUACUGUGAAAGUGUACUAACAUUGCUUUAAAUUGUUUGUCCAAUAUGUAGAGGA